This is a long non-coding RNA of Drosophila yakuba, 1510 nucleotides long. RefSeq lists it as uncharacterized. The record is from RefSeq and is a predicted model, not a curated record. Lineage: Eukaryota; Metazoa; Arthropoda; Insecta; Diptera; Drosophilidae. The transcript is spliced from 2 exons.
CGCGAGGCAAAAUGAGAGAGACACAUGCAAACAAUGCGAAAGUAUAUGAUUUGCGUAGCCGUUCAGUACGUUUGAACGUAGGCGACACAGUAUAUGCCCGCAAUUUUGCGCAAAGCAACGCAGCUAAAAAGUUUAGUGCCAAACUCGCUCCUGUUUUCAUUAAAGCUAAAGUGUCAAAGAGAAUCAGUAACAUCUAUUUUGAGUUAGUAGACGAUUCUAGCAAGGUUUUGGGUGUUUAUCACCUAAAGGAUAUUCGAACUUAACGCUUCGCCGAAUUGCGACUGACCUUUUUCAGUUAAUACUUCGUCGAGAUAUGACUCUUGCUGAAUUAACUGUGGUGUAGGGGUCAGCAUAGAAAGCCAAAACAAAAUAAAUUGUACCGCAGCAGAAAAUACAAAUUGCCCUUAAAUUCGUUCAGGCCCAGUGUAAAAGCUAGAGUAGUAAUUCCAAUCGGUAAUGCAGAACUAGUCGACCGCUUCAAUACUCCCAGUUAUCUAACUAUCUCGCUCUCGCACACAUCCGCAAGGCACGCAGACAGAAUAGAAUAGAGACAGAGCCGGGAAAAGUCCCGUUUCUAGCGGUUCGCGCAAAUUCCAGUGCACAUCGACUGUACAAUGCGUAGAUCAGCUCGUUCAUUUGGUUUUGCAAUCUCGAAGUACUUAAACGUGCGAAAAGUCAUCAUCUAGUGCAAAGAAGUAAAGCCACGUGGACUUUCUUUAACCACGAGGGUGUUACAUAAAUCCCAGUUUGUGAACAAAACCAGAUAUUGAAGUCAGUGAAAUCAGUCUAUAUUUACUCGCUUGCUCAGGUCAAGGCCAGAACACGCGCUUGUCGCGGGCGCUCUCGCGCUUACAUUUGUUAAAUCACCCUUCUGGACCUGGCCAGCCUACAGUUCAGCGUGCAGCCACAGUUUAUGGGCGCGUUCAGCGCGCAGUCACAGUGACUGAGCGCGUUCAGCACAUUUCACGGCCAGUAACUUGAUGUCGGAACAGAACAGCACCUCGGCCUAGGCAACACCGCCUGAACCACCACAGAAUGAAAAUCGUCGCUAGGGACUAGCCAAUCCUAGCCAAGAUGCAGGAUAUUCACCAAAUCUGAACCGCCUCGCACAGCCGCUGAAUAGCCGCAUUUACCGUUUUGCUAUAAGCAAGCCCGCCGUAGCGCGCGCCGGCCACGUGCGGCUCAUGUUUAAGGAAAGUCGUCUCCCAGAAGUAGAUCGUCUUGAAGAGAGAUCCGCAGAAGCUCGUCAGCCGAACCGAAGCACGUGUGUCGCAGCCAUAUAAUUUAGAAAUUACGAAUACGGAUGCUGCAAGAGCAGGCAAUCAUUAAGGACCGCCAUCGUUUAAAGCCAUAGACAGAGAAGUCGUUUGCAUUCAUUAAAUUAAAAAACUUUAAGUCAGACCGUUUAUCUUAUACUAGUUAUGUUCUUUUUCAUAUAGUUGUAAAACAGAAAGCGAUCUGUAUACCGCCAGAGUAUAUCCCAUUUAAGAAUGAAUUAACUGCGCAUUUA